Molecule: long non-coding RNA, 679 nt
Filed under: Bemisia tabaci
Lineage: Eukaryota; Metazoa; Arthropoda; Insecta; Hemiptera; Aleyrodidae
Description: lncRNA ENSSSA1NGG012183
Source: RNAcentral
CUUACAUUCUCCAAACCCUUUCUUUCAAGUCAUCGUACCCAGUACUUUUACCUCCAAAUAGUGUUGGAAUUCCAGUGUGUCAAUCUUUGUUGCAGCUGUAAACAAGUUUGACUUGUCUCUAGCUUUAAUUAGAGAAAAAUAUAUCUGGGGAAAAAAAGCUCAAAAAAGUAAAACUCAGCUGCAGAUCUAGGUAUAAAAAAGAUGAUGUUUAUAAGGCCAUGGUCGAUAGAAUGCCCUUGAUUCCAACUUGGAUGAUGAUUUGAGUGGAGUCUUACCUGUCAAUAUAGCGAAACUUGCUAUGCUCUAUGAAGAUGAUCCGGAUCCAUAUUUCAAAGGAAAAUAUAACUGGUAUUAUGGUGGAACAUUGUCAGUUCAAAAAAACAAAAAUAUGGAAUUUGUCACAAUCUCAGCUGCAGGGAAAGCCUUAGAUGAACUUCAUAUGAAAACUUUCAAUCCUUGUGAAAAAUUAAAAUGUGAAACAUUCGUACUAUCAGAUCAAAUGAUGAAAGGGUCACCUAUCUAUGAAGUGUCUAAAUUAAGGAAGAAAGUAAGUUAAAUGUUGAUAAUCAAUCUUGUCAAAACUGUAACCUUAGCUGUAAGGGUUUACUGCAAACGUUAAUGAAAGAUCACUAGAUUAUCUUGUAGACAGUUCAGGGGUACAAUUUUUUACAUGCGCCUG